UGCUUUAGCAACGUAAUUUAUAAGUAAAUAGAAUCAAGCCAAUGUGUAUCGUAUGCUUGUGCAGAGACCUUGCUCUGUCGAAACGUACUUGAACUGCCCAAAGGAUGCGAACGAGUCCAUGACGGAUGACCGUCGACAACAAAAAUGCACAAGUAGAAAAAGAACUGCAUUCCUUGUAAGUGCAAUGAGGAUGACUAAAUAGUAUACGACCUGUGAUGACACACGCGCUAAAUAGCGGCAUGAAACUUUUAAGUGUUGCAGAAUUCUAAGAAAAAUCAUAGUGGUCGCAGAAAUGUCCGUAGUCGAUCGAAUUUCGUGCAGUCAGCGAGUAAAACGAUAAGAAGCAUGGCGCGAGCCCCUCGUUGACUACAAAAUCUGAAAAACAAUUCGGAGGUUACGUUUCACUCGAUACGCAUGCGUGUCCGAAGAAACCAUGGAACGAAACAAGCAGACAAGAGAGGAGAGACAAAACAUACACCGACGAACGAUCCGUCACAUGCACGUGCCGCUUACCGGCAGGCUGAGGAGAUGAGUGCACGCAUAGCAGCACAUACGCGCACACGUAGAAAAUACAAGGUAAGGUACCGGCAUGUAUGCUACCUGCGCCUGAAACUGGCCCGGCACACAAGAAGUAGCAAGCGGUGAUAGGUACAGACCAUUCGCUCUUCAUUGCAAAUUUUAGAAGCAAUGCCAAUCGUGCGACGACGCAGCGGUUCUCAAGCGAACUGAAUCACAGACUCGAGGUAUAUCUUGUAUAGUGUUGAAAAAUGCAAUUUCAGAAACCUCUAUCAACAGGUAAAUUGCGUCUAUCGUUCGUACAGCUUGCUCUAGAUAGAAUCAAAGAGAAAUAUUCUUCAGAUAGCAUAGGAUAAUCUGAAAAUCAGGGAAUGCACUUUGCAGGCAUCGCUACUCGAGAUACGCGACUCAGGGACCAAGAACAGUGGGGUGGAGGCGGUGAGGAGGAGGCACGAAGAGAAAAAGAGAAAAUUCCAGGGAUGUAUUGCGUACGGGAAUAGCCGGCCCUGACGCGACGACGAAGUCGUCUUUUCCAUCCAACUCUGUUUCUGUUUCUUCUUCUACCUCUCACCACGGAGGGCUGUCACCGUUCCACUUCACGGGAACGCGAUUCCCGAGAUAUUCUACCUACUACACCACCUCCACCACAUCCUACUCCCAAGAGUAUGGUAUGCCAACCUUCCUCUCCACCAUGUUUCUCUCGCGUGCUCGCAUGAAGGAGGAUCACAGUCCGUGCGGUGGCCCCCACGACGCCUACGAAUAUUAUGCCCACUCUCUCUUUCUCUCUCUUUCUUGCUCGCACUUUUCAUCGUAUGCGUGUGCGCGUGUGUGUGUGUGUGUGUGUCUGCGUUCGAUGCUGUGUGUUCGGUUCUUUCUCUCGCAUCUUCCCAACUCUCGGAGCACACACCAGCAACGAUCCAUGCACACAUUCACCUACCCAACCCUGCUUUUUUCUUUCUUCUUUUCUUCUCUUUCCAGAGGUAAGCGCGUGGGGCGAGGUCUGCGCCUAAUUCUCCCCUACAUGACCGGUUCGUGAGAAAAAUCCGAACGAAAAGAUCCGCGUGGUCAAGCGAAGCGUCUCAUUGAUGUAGCAAGACUUUGCAACUCCGUUUCGAGUCUCGUUGAAUUACAAGAAAAACAAGCGGCGAUGAUUAAAGGGAAACACGCAAGGG
This is a long non-coding RNA of Megalopta genalis, 1688 nucleotides long. RefSeq lists it as uncharacterized. NCBI's taxonomy places the organism in Eukaryota, Metazoa, Arthropoda, Insecta, Hymenoptera, Halictidae. The record is from RefSeq and is a predicted model, not a curated record.